GUUGUAUAGUCAAGUAAUUAAGUGCAUGUGGUGGAUGCCUUGGCAGUCAGAGGCGAUGAAAGACGUGAUAGCCUGCGAAAAGCUCCGGGGAGGCGGCAAAUAUCCUUUGAUCCGGAGAUGUCUGAAUGGGGGAACCCACCUACUUUAAGGUAGGUAUUGCAACAUGAAUACAUAGUGUUGCAAGGCGAACGAGGGGAAGUGAAACAUCUCAGUACCCUUAGGAAAAGAAAUCAAUUGAGAUUCCCUCAGUAGCGGCGAGCGAACGGGGAUCAGCCCAUUAAGUUAUGUGUGUUUUAGUGGAACGCUCUGGGAAGUGCGAACGUAGAGGGUGAUAUUCCCGUACACGAAAGGGCACACAUAAUGAUGACGAGUAGGGCGAGGCACGUGAAACCUUGUCUGAAUAUGGGGGGACCAUCCUCCAAGGCUAAAUACUCCUGACUGACCGAUAGUGAACCAGUACCGUGAGGGAAAGGCGAAAAGAACCCCUGUGAGGGGAGUGAAAUAGAUCCUGAAACCGCAUGCAUACAAGCAGUGGGAGCACCUUCGUGGUGUGACUGCGUACCUUUUGUAUAAUGGGUCAGCGACUUAUAUUCAGUAGCAAGGUUAACCGUAUAGGGGAGCCGUAGAGAAAUCGAGUCUUAAUAGGGCGUUUAGUUGCUGGGUAUAGACCCGAAACCAGGCGAUCUAUCCAUGAGCAGGUUGAAGGUUGGGUAACACUAACUGGAGGACCGAACCCACUGUCGUUGAAAAGCCAGGGGAUGACUUGUGGAUAGGGGUGAAAGGCUAAUCAAGCCUGGUGAUAGCUGGUUCUCCCCGAAAGCUAUUUAGGUAGCGCCUCGGACGAAUACCAUAGGGGGUAGAGCACUGUUUCGGCUAGGGGGUCAUCCCGACUUACCAAACCGAUGCAAACUCCGAAUACCUAUGAGUACUAUCCGGGAGACAGACUGCGGGUGCUAACGUCCGUAGUCAAGAGGAAAACAAUCCAGACCGCCAGCUAAGGCCCCAAAAUCAUAGUUAAGUGGGAAACGAUGUGGGAAGGCAUAGACAGCUAGGAGGUUGGCUUAGAAGCAGCCACCCUUUAAAGAAAGCGUAAUAGCUCACUAGUCGAGUCGGCCUGCGCGGAAGAUGUAACGGGGCUAAAACUAUGUGCCGAAGCUGCGGAUNNNNNNNNNNNNNNNNNNNNNNNNNNNNNNNNNNNNNNNNNNNNNNNNNNNNNNNNNNNNNNNNNNNNNNNNNNNNNNNNNNNUGCUGGAGGUAUCAGAAGUGCGAAUGCUGACGUGAGUAACGACAAAACGGGUGAAAAACCCGUUCGCCGAAAGACCAAGGGUUCCAGUCCAACGUUAAUCGGGGCUGGGUGAGUCGACCCCUAAGGCGAGGCCGAAAGGCGUAGUCGAUGGGAAAAUGGUUAAUAUUCCAUUACUUCUGUGUAAUGCGAUGAGAGGACGGAGAAGGCUAAAUCAGCCUGGCGUUGGUUGUCCAGGUGAAAGGAUGUAGGCAUGUAUCUUAGGCAAAUCCGGGGUACUCUAUGCUGAGAUCUGAUAGCAAGCUGUACUUGUACAGCGAAGUGGUUGAUGCCAUGCUUCCAGGAAAAGUCUCUAAGCUUCAGUUACACAGGAAUCGUACCCGAAACCGACACAGGUGGUCAGGUCGAGUAGACCAAGGCGCUUGAGAGAACUCUGCUGAAGGAACUAGGCAAAAUGGUACCGUAACUUCGGGAGAAGGUACGCUGUUGUUGGUGAUGGAACUCGCUUCCUGAGCUGACGACAGCCGCAGAAACCAGGCCGCUGCAACUGUUUAUUAAAAACAUAGCACUCUGCAAACACGAAAGUGGACGUAUAGGGUGUGAUGCCUGCCCGGUGCUGGAAGGUUAAUUGAUGGGGUUAGCGUAAGCGAAGCUCUUGAUCGAAGCCCCAGUAAACGGCGGCCGUAACUAUAACGGUCCUAAGGUAGCGAAAUUCCUUGUCGGGUAAGUUCCGACCUGCACGAAUGGCAUAAUGAUGGCGGCGCUGUCUCCAGCAGAGGCUCAGUGAAAUCGAAAUCGCUGUGAAGAUGCAGUGUACCCGCGGCUAGACGGAAAGACCCCGUGAACCUUUACUGCAGCUUGACACUGAACUUUGACCUUACUUGUGUAGGAUAGGUGGGAGGCUUUGAAGCUGGAACGCUAGUUCCAGUGGAGCCGUCCUUGAAAUACCACCCUGGUAAUGUUGAGGUUCUAACUCUGUCCCGUGAUCCGGGACGAGGACCGUGUCUGGUGGGUAGUUUGACUGGGGCGGUCUCCUCCUAAAGAGUAACGGAGGAGUACGAAGGUGCGCUCAGCGUGGUCGGAAAUCACGCGUAGAGUAUAAAGGCAAAAGCGCGCUUAACUGCGAGACCCACAAGUCGAGCAGGUACGAAAGUAGGUCUUAGUGAUCCGGUGGUUCUGUAUGGAAGGGCCAUCGCUCAACGGAUAAAAGGUACUCUGGGGAUAACAGGCUGAUACCGCCCAAGAGUUCAUAUCGACGGCGGUGUUUGGCACCUCGAUGUCGGCUCAUCUCAUCCUGGGGCUGAAGCAGGUCCCAAGGGUAUGGCUGUUCGCCAUUUAAAGAGGUACGCGAGCUGGGUUUAGAACGUCGUGAGACAGUUCGGUCCCUAUCUACCGUGGGCGCUGGAAAUUUGAGAGGAUCUGCUCCUAGUACGAGAGGACCAGAGUGGACGAACCUCUGGUGUACCGGUUGUGACGCCAGUCGCAUCGCCGGGUAGCUAUGUUCGGAAGGGAUAACCGCUGAAAGCAUCUAAGCGGGAAGCCUACCUCAAGAUAAGAUUUCCCUAGGACUUUAUGUCCUCUAAAGAGCCGUUCGAGACUAGGACGUUGAUAGGUUGGAUGUGGAAGCAUAGUGAUAUGUGAAGCUGACCAAUACUAAUUGCUCGUGAGGCUUGACUAUACAACACCCAAGCAGUUG
Molecule: ribosomal RNA, 2939 nt
Filed under: Acinetobacter baumannii
Lineage: Bacteria; Pseudomonadati; Pseudomonadota; Gammaproteobacteria; Moraxellales; Moraxellaceae
Description: 23S ribosomal RNA
Rfam family: Bacterial large subunit ribosomal RNA
Source: RNAcentral